Molecule: long non-coding RNA, 1244 nt
Organism: Gallus gallus (chicken)
Lineage: Eukaryota; Metazoa; Chordata; Aves; Galliformes; Phasianidae
Exons: 2
Source: RefSeq, a predicted model, not a curated record
GGCUCAUUACAUUAAGCGGAAAAAAUGGAAGUAAAAUAAAACAAAAGCAUAACACUAGCUGGGUUUGAGUCUGGUGCAGACCCUGCAGGAAAAGGACUGAUGCACCCAUGUGAAGGGUCCUGUCACUUCAUUGCUGUCUGGAAUACUGCUUAAACAUGUCAGGCUACGCAUAAUCUUGGUGCUAUGAGAGUUUGGUGUGCAGCAUGGCAAUAGGGGAUGGAAAGCAUUUUUUAAUUUUUUAAUAUUUUUUUAAAUUUUUUUAAAUAUUUUUUACUGACAUAGUCAUACAAUCCUUUCAGAAAUACAGUGAUAAAUACACAGGAACGUAAAGAACAUCAUACGCAAGUUUGUCAGGACUUACUGAAUGAAUACAAGUCUGAAGUUGAUAGUUUCUUGGAUCUCAUCACUAACGAUGAGAAGACAUAGUGUCACCAUUAUGAUCUGGAGUCAUCAUAACAGUCCAUAGAGUAGCAACAUGUGAAUUACUCAUCAUAGAAAAAGCUCAAGACACAGCUCUUAAUGAGUAAAGUGAUGAGCAAUGUCUUUUGGGAUAGGAAAGGGGUGAUCCUUCUGAAUUUCCUGGAACCCAAACAAACCAUCAGUUCUGACCUCUACAUCACCACACUGACUAAGCUGAAAGCUCGAAGUACCAGAGUCACACCAGAGAUGACAACCUUUCUCUCACAACUCAAUAAUGUCAGGUUCCAUAGCAGUUUGAAGACCGUGGAGCGCAUUGCCAGUCCUGGCUGGGCUGCCCUACUGCACCCAUCUCAUAGGCCAGAAUUUGUGCCUUCUGCCUUCCAUCUGUUUCCAUCUAUGAAAGAUGGACAGCAGGGGCAACAGUUUCAUAGCAUUGAUACUGUCAUAACAGCUGUGAAACAUUUCCACGGAAACAAAUAGGAGGCACUACUUCCAGCUGCAAAAAGUGGAGCGAAAAUAGAGUAAAAUAAGUUUUAAGUUCAUCCUGGUUGAUUGAAAGCUACCAGUAGAAGAGUCUCCUGACAGUUUGCAGUGGUGCAGCUCUUCACAGAGACAGCAGUAAUGGCAGGGCAUUUGAGAAUGACAUUUUUGACAACAUUUUUUGGAACUGUGCAUGAUUCUGUGUUUACCAAAUUGGAGACCUUCAGCUCCAGUGCAAAGCCGUUUGUGGCAGAUCUGCUACAAUUUCUCAGAAUGAAGAAAUGAGCACGUUGUAGAAAUAGGAGAUAUCAAAAAGCAAAUAAAAUGAGUGUGAAAGCAUCAAA